GACGAACGCUGGCGGCGUGCUUAACACAUGCAAGUCGAACGGAAAGGCCCUGCUUUUGUGGGGUGCUCGAGUGGCGAACGGGUGAGUAACACGUGAGUAACCUGCCCUUGACUUUGGGAUAACUUCAGGAAACUGGGGCUAAUACCGGAUAGGAGCUCCUGCUGCAUGGUGGGGGUUGGAAAGUUUCGGCGGUUGGGGAUGGACUCGCGGCUUAUCAGCUUGUUGGUGGGGUAGUGGCUUACCAAGGCUUUGACGGGUAGCCGGCCUGAGAGGGUGACCGGCCCACUUGGGACUGGGAUUCCGGCCCAAACCCUACCGGAGGGAACCGGGGGGAAAUAUUGAACAAGGGGCGAAGGCCGGAGGCGGCACGGCGGCGGGCGGAUGACGGCCUUCGGGUUGUAAACCGCUUUCGCCUGUGACGAAGCGUGAGUGACGGUAAUGGGUAAAGAGGCACCGGCUAACUACGUG
RNAcentral lists this ribosomal RNA (468 nucleotides) under uncultured bacterium. Its description in RNAcentral is "partial 16S ribosomal RNA". It matches the Rfam family "Bacterial small subunit ribosomal RNA", at positions 28 to 507 of the family's 1533-position model. The record is from RNAcentral.